UAGUUGUCGGCGGAAGAAAUUGUUUAUAUAUUUACAUAGCAAUCACCAAUUGAAGAACAGCAGGUUAUUAAUAUAAUUAUUCGACUGAUGACAGGAAAAAGUGGUGGAGCAAGCAACAGGAUUAUAUCCCGGUAGUAGCCCACGCUAUAAGAUGAUUAUACUAGCUGGGCGGAGUACAGUCAGCGUCUAAGCGAAAGUGAUAAGUAUUCCACCUGGGGAGUACGAUCGCAAGUUUGAAACUCAAAGGAAUUGGCGGGGGCCCGCACAAGCGGUGGAGCAUGUGGUUUAAUUCGAUGAUACGCGAGGAACCUUACCAAGGCUUAAAUGGGGAACGACUGAAUUGGAAACAGUAUAUUCUUCGGGCGUUUUUCAAGGUGCUGCAUGGUUGUCGUCAGCUCGUGCCGUGAGGUGUCAGGUUAAGUCCUACAACGAGCGCAACCCCUGUUGUUAGUUGCCAGCGGGUAAUGUCGGGAACUCUAACAAAACUGCCAGUGCAAGCCGAGAGGAAGGCGGGGAUGACGUCAAAUCAUCACGGCCCUUACGCCUUGGGCCACACACGUGCUACAAUGGCCGGUACAGAGAGCAGCCACUUGGUGACCAGGAUGCGAAUCUAUAAAGCCAAUCUCAGUUCGGAUCGGAGUCUGCAACUCGACUCUGUGAAGCUGGAAUCGCUAGUAAUCGGACAUCAGCCAUGAUCCCGGUGAAUACGUUCCCGGGCCUUGUACACACCGCCCGUCAAACCAUGGAAGUUGGGGGUACCUGAAGUCGUACCGCAAGAGC
RNAcentral lists this ribosomal RNA (780 nucleotides) under uncultured bacterium. RNAcentral describes it as "bacterial SSU rRNA". It matches the Rfam family "Bacterial small subunit ribosomal RNA", at positions 648 to 1442 of the family's 1533-position model. The record is from RNAcentral.